Molecule: non-coding RNA, 28 nt
Filed under: Homo sapiens (human)
Lineage: Eukaryota; Metazoa; Chordata; Mammalia; Primates; Hominidae
Source: RNAcentral
UGCGGUGUGAGCUUGGUGUUUUGUCUCA